CAGAAUCUAAUCGAAUAUUGCAUGAAACAUGAAACAUCAAUUCAAGUCUUUUCUUAAACGGAGAAUGCAUCAAACAAAAUCCAAAGUGUCUUGCAAGUCUGUAGCAUGAGCAAAAAAUUGUAAAUAUGUUGAACCAAAUUAUUCAAGUACAGAAGAACGAGCAAGCUAAAUCAUGUAUAAGAGAUUGGCCUGGUUCGGGAUAGCUUCUUCACUGUACCUGAAGGGUUGGCUCAAUCUCUUCUUUAGAAUUCUGCAGAUUUUGUAAUUACUCGUGUAAGCAAGCAUACAUUGCCACCAUAAGAAUAAUAAAGCUAGAGUAAUGAUAUGACCACCACCUCUUGUGCACAAACAAUAUUGUAUAAACUAAUGCGACAUAAUAUGAUUGGUUAAACAAAAACAUUACAUGGCCCUCAUAAUUUAUUUAUUUAUUUAUUAUUAUUAUUAUAUAUUUUCAAUCAACCAAUCAUAUUAUAUCACAUUAGUUUCUAUAAAAUAAUUUGCUAAAUAGCACCAAAACUUAAUUGAUACUCACCAUUUCAUUGAACAA
This 547-nucleotide long non-coding RNA is filed under the name Citrus sinensis (sweet orange). RNAcentral describes it as "long non-coding RNA (CSIN_LNC005542)". The record is from RNAcentral. Lineage: Eukaryota; Viridiplantae; Streptophyta; Magnoliopsida; Sapindales; Rutaceae.